RNAcentral lists this Y RNA (100 nucleotides) under Aotus nancymaae (Ma's night monkey). Its description in RNAcentral is "Y RNA (ENSANAG00000004065.1)". It matches the Rfam family "Y RNA". From Rfam's summary of the family: Y RNAs are components of the Ro ribonucleoprotein particle (Ro RNP), in association with Ro60 and La proteins. The Y RNAs and Ro60 and La proteins are well conserved, but the function of the Ro RNP is not known. The record is from Rfam by way of RNAcentral. Lineage: Eukaryota; Metazoa; Chordata; Mammalia; Primates; Aotidae.
GGCUAGUCUGCAGGCUGUGAAUUAUCUCGAUUGAUUGUUACAAACAGAACUUCUUGUUCUUCUCUUCCCUCUUCUCACUACUAUACUUGACUAGUCUUAA